AGAAAGUAAUUAAGGGCGCAUGGCGGAUGCCUUGGCUCAUGGAGGCGAUGAAGGACGUGAUAAGCUGCGAUAAGCUGCGGGUAGGUGCAAAUAACCUUUGAUCCGCGGAUUUCCGAAUGGGACAACCCAAUUACCAUAAGGUAAUUAUCAUAUAUAUGAUAUAUGAGGCGAACCGAGGGAACUGAAACAUCUUAGUACCUCGAGGAAGAGAAAAUAAACUAAUGAUUCCCCUAGUAGUGGCGAGCGAACGGGGAUUAGCCCAAACCAAUGUUGUAUUAUGCAAUGUUGGGGUUGUAGGACUACGUUGUUGUACUUGAAUUGCGAGAAGAAUAUUCUGGAAAGUUUAGCCAUAGCAGGUGAAAGCCCUUUAUUCGAAGCAUGCCAAGACAUAGUAGUAUCCUGAGUAGCGCGGGACACGUGUAAUCCUGUGUGAAUCUGCCGGGCCCAUCCGGUAAGGCUAAAUACUCCCAUGAGACCGAUAGCGUACCAGUAC
This 493-nucleotide ribosomal RNA is filed under the name Porphyromonadaceae bacterium. RNAcentral's name for it is "partial 23S ribosomal RNA". It matches the Rfam family "Bacterial large subunit ribosomal RNA", at positions 1 to 501 of the family's 2925-position model. The record is from RNAcentral. Lineage: Bacteria; Pseudomonadati; Bacteroidota; Bacteroidia; Bacteroidales; Porphyromonadaceae.